Molecule: ribosomal RNA, 481 nt
Filed under: uncultured bacterium
Lineage: Bacteria
Description: partial 16S ribosomal RNA
Rfam family: Bacterial small subunit ribosomal RNA
Source: RNAcentral
ACGAACGCUGGCGGCGCGCCUAACACAUGCAAGUCGAACGAGCGAGAGAGAGCUUGCUUUCUCGAGCGAGUGGCGAACGGGUGAGUAACGCGUGAGGAACCUGCCUCAAAGAGGGGGACAACAGUUGGAAACGACUGCUAAUACCGCAUAAGCCCACGGCCCGGCAUCGAGCAGAGGGAAAAGGAGCAAUCCGCUUUGGGAUGGCCUCGCGUCCGAUUAGCUAGUUGGUGAGGUAACGGCCCACCAAGGCGACGAUCGGUAGCCGGACUGAGAGGUUGAACGGCCACAUUGGGACUGAGACACGGCCCAGACUCCUACGGGAGGCAGCAGUGGGGAAUAUUGCACAAUGGGGGAAACCCUGAUGCAGCGACGCCGCGUGGAGGAAGAAGGUCUUCGGAUUGUAAACUCCUGUUGUUGAGGAAGAUAAUGACGGUACUCAACAAGGAAGUGACGGCUAACUACGUGCCAGCCGCCGCAGUAA